RNAcentral lists this ribosomal RNA (245 nucleotides) under uncultured bacterium. Its description in RNAcentral is "partial 16S ribosomal RNA". It matches the Rfam family "Bacterial small subunit ribosomal RNA", at positions 524 to 768 of the family's 1533-position model. The record is from RNAcentral.
UACGUAGGGAGCAAGCGUUGUCCGGAUUUAUUGGGCGUAAAGCGCACGCAGGCGGUCUGUUGCGUCAUGAGUGACAGGUGUCGGCUUAACUGACACAGGCCUUGUGAUACGGGCAGACUUGAGGACUUGAGAGGGAGACGGAAUUCCGGGUGGAGCGGUGAAAUGCGUAGAGAUCCGGAGGAACACCGAAGGCGUAGGCAGUCUCCUGGCAAGUAUCUGACGCUCAGGUGCGAAAGCUCGGGGAG